AAUAGAUACCCAGGUAGUCCUAGCCGUAAACGAUACUCGCUAGGUGUCGGCCACGGUGCGACCGUUGUCGGUGCCGUAGGGAAGCCGUGAAGCGAGCCACCUGGGAAGUACGGCCGCAAGGCUGAAACUUAAAGGAAUUGGCGGGGGAGCACCACAACGGGUGGAGCUUGCGGUUUAAUUGGAUUCAACGCCGGAAAUCUUACCGGGACCGACAGCAAUAUGAAGGCCAGGCUGAAGACUUUGCCGGAUUAGCUGAGAGGUGGUGCAUGGCCGUCGUCAGUUCGUACUGUGAAGCAUCCUGUUAAGUCAGGCAACGAGCGAGACCCACGCCCACAGUUGCCAGCGUACUCUCUGGAGUGACGGGUACACUGUGGGGACCGCCGCUGCUAAAGCGGAGGAAGGAAUGGGCAACGGUAGGUCAGUAUGCCCCGAAUAUCCCGGGCUACACGCGAGCUACAAUGGUUGGUACAAUGGGUAUCUACCCCGGAAAGGGGACGGGAAUCUCCUAAAACCAAUCUUAGUUCGGAUUGAGGGCUGCAACUCGCCCUCA
Molecule: ribosomal RNA, 550 nt
Filed under: uncultured bacterium
Lineage: Bacteria
Description: bacterial SSU rRNA
Rfam family: Archaeal small subunit ribosomal RNA
Source: RNAcentral